RNAcentral lists this non-coding RNA (261 nucleotides) under Rosa chinensis. Lineage: Eukaryota; Viridiplantae; Streptophyta; Magnoliopsida; Rosales; Rosaceae. The record is from RNAcentral.
CCUGGGGUGUGGGGCGAGAAAUGACACGUGGAAUGAUACCCUAAACCCGCCACUCUGUCCUUGUUAAAGGGCAGAGCACCAAACCAUUGGGGUCGUUUCCCGAUGUUUCCCUCGUGUGGUUAAACAAAGAAACGUUGAUGCCGCGCGUGUCAUUUCCCACGUGGAAAACCCCUCGAGAGGUUUGCAGGUGGUGCUGCUCGCCGGUUCAGGCGGUACGCGGUUACUGGUUUCCUCGCCUCUCCUGCACCCCCACAACAUUUU